GGCGAACGCUGGCGGCGUGCUUAACACAUGCAAGUCGAACGGCAAGGCCCUGCUUUUGUGGGGUUCUCGGGUGGCGAACGGGUGAGUAACACGUGAGUAACCUGCCCUUGACUUUGGGGUAACUUCAGGAAACUGGGGCUAAUACCGUAUAGGAUCUCCUGCUCCAGGGUGGGGGGUGGAAAGUUGCGGCGGGUGGGGAUGGACUCGCGGCUUAUGAGCUUGUUGGUGGGGGAGGGGCUUACCAAGGGUUUGGCGGGUACGCGGCCUGGGAGGGUGACCGGCGACAUUGGGCCUGCGAUACGGCGCAGACUGCAACGGGAGGCAGCAGGGGGGAAUAUUGCCCAAUGGGCGGAAGCCUGAUGAAGCAACGCUGGGGGCGGGAUGACGGCCUGUGGGUUGUAAACCGCUUUCGCCUGUGACGAAGCGUGAGUGACGGUAAUGGGUAAAGAAGCACCGGCUAACUACGUG
RNAcentral lists this ribosomal RNA (468 nucleotides) under uncultured bacterium. RNAcentral describes it as "partial 16S ribosomal RNA". It matches the Rfam family "Bacterial small subunit ribosomal RNA", at positions 28 to 507 of the family's 1533-position model. The record is from RNAcentral.